Molecule: ribosomal RNA, 445 nt
Filed under: uncultured bacterium
Lineage: Bacteria
Description: bacterial SSU rRNA
Rfam family: Bacterial small subunit ribosomal RNA
Source: RNAcentral
GUAAGGAAUAUUGGACAAUGGGCGCAAGCCUGAUCCAGCCAUCCCGCGUGCAGGAAGACGGCCCUAUGGGUUGUAAACUGCUUUUAUUAGGGAAGAAUAGUAUCAACUUGUUGAUAUAUGACGGUACCUAAGGAAUAAGCACCGGCUAACUCCGUGCCAGCAGCCGCGGUAAUACGGAGGGUGCAAGCGUUAUCCGGAAUCACUGGGUUUAAAGGGUGCGUAGGCGGAAUAAUAAGUCAGGCGUGAAAGGUUACAGCUUAACUGUAGACUUGCGUUUGAUACUGUUAUUCUUGAAUUAAGAUGAGGUUGGCAGAAUGCGACAUGUAGCGGUGAAAUGCAUAGAUAUGUCGUAGAAUACCGAUUGCGAAGGCAGCCAACCGGACUUAAAUUGACGCUGAGGCACGAAAGCGUGGGGAGCGAACAGGAUUAGAAACCCGAGUAGUCC